RNAcentral lists this transfer-messenger RNA (205 nucleotides) under Bryobacterales bacterium. RNAcentral's name for it is "partial transfer-messenger RNA". It matches the Rfam family "transfer-messenger RNA", at positions 162 to 374 of the family's 374-position model. From Rfam's summary of the family: Bacterial tmRNA, also known as 10Sa RNA or SsrA, is named for its dual tRNA and mRNA-like properties. Its role is to liberate the mRNA from a stalled ribosome. To accomplish this part of the tmRNA is used as a reading frame that ends in a translation stop signal. Lineage: Bacteria; Pseudomonadati; Acidobacteriota; Terriglobia; Bryobacterales. The record is from RNAcentral.
CUGGUGGUUGGGGCCAAGACGCCAUUAAACAGGCUGGCUCUCGCGUGGCGCCACGGCGCGCGAGGGUGAGAUUUACCGGGGCUGGCGCCUGCCGGUACUUCGCCGCUUCCACACGGCGGGCGCGAGACCCACGAAGCGGACACGCAUGUAGAGUCCUGCGGGGACGCAUUCUCGGACGCGGGUUCGACUCCCGCCGCCUCCACCA